AGAAUGUUAUCACGGGAGACACACGGCGGGUGCUAACGUCCGUCGUGAAGAGGGAAACAACCCAGACCGCCAGCUAAGGUCCCAAAGUCAUGGUUAAGUGGGAAACGAUGUGGGAAGGCCCAGACAGCCAGGAUGUUGGCUUAGAAGCAGCCAUCAUUUAAAGAAAGCGUAAUAGCUCACUGGUCGAGUCGGCCUGCGCGGAAGAUGUAACGGGGCUAAACCAUGCACCGAAGCUGCGGCAGCGACRCUGUGUGUUGUUGGGUAGGGGAGCGUUCUGUAAGCCUGYGAAGGUGGCCUGUGAGGGUUGCUGGAGGUAUCAGAAGUGCGAAUGCUGACAUAAGUAACGAUAAAGCGGGUGAAAAGCCCGCUCGCCGGAAGACCAAGGGUUCCUGUCCAACGUUAAUCGGGGCAGGGUGAGUCGACCCCUAAGGCGAGGCCGAAAGGCGUAGUCGAUGGGAAACGGGUUAAUAUUCCCGUACUUGGUGUUACUGCGAAGGGGGGACGGAGAAGGCUAUGUUGGCCGGGCGACGGUUGU
This 535-nucleotide ribosomal RNA is filed under the name Salmonella enterica. Its description in RNAcentral is "partial 23S ribosomal RNA". The record is from RNAcentral. Lineage: Bacteria; Pseudomonadati; Pseudomonadota; Gammaproteobacteria; Enterobacterales; Enterobacteriaceae.